GAUCUCUUGGUUCUGGCAUCGAUGAAGAACGCAGCGAAAUGCGAUAAGUAGUGUGAAUUGCAGAAUUCAGUGAAUCAUCGAAUCUUUGAACGCACAUUGCGCCCUUUGGUAUUCCAAAGGGCAUGCCUGUUCGAGCGUCAUUUGUACCCUCAAGCUUUG
RNAcentral lists this ribosomal RNA (159 nucleotides) under Alternaria alternata. Its description in RNAcentral is "5.8S ribosomal RNA". The stretch from base 1 to 140 matches the Rfam family "5.8S ribosomal RNA". From Rfam's summary of the family: 5.8S ribosomal RNA (5.8S rRNA) is a component of the large subunit of the eukaryotic ribosome. It is transcribed by RNA polymerase I as part of the 45S precursor that also contains 18S and 28S rRNA. Lineage: Eukaryota; Fungi; Ascomycota; Dothideomycetes; Pleosporales; Pleosporaceae. The record is from RNAcentral.